Molecule: long non-coding RNA, 251 nt
Organism: Pseudoliparis swirei
Lineage: Eukaryota; Metazoa; Chordata; Actinopteri; Perciformes; Liparidae
Exons: 2
Source: RefSeq, a predicted model, not a curated record
AGCUCCAAACUGCUCUGAAUGAGGCCGCCUCCAACAUCACUGCUUUUUCUUUGCUCGAGAACCUCCAUCAUUCAAACCCAGCUGUCUGCGGCUUAAAAACCCAACCAACGGUCCCAGAGACGAUCAACCACCAUCUGGGAUCCCUUUAACCAUUCCUAUGGCUUUCAAGCUACUGGACCAUCAAGCUAUAGAAAUGAAGCUAAUAUGCAUAUCCAUGUAAUAAAGUGUCUCGAGAGACGCAUGUCAGGGUC